Molecule: ribosomal RNA, 154 nt
Filed under: uncultured bacterium
Lineage: Bacteria
Description: partial 16S ribosomal RNA
Rfam family: Bacterial small subunit ribosomal RNA
Source: RNAcentral
UGGGCCGUUACUGACGCUNAGGAGCGAAAGCGUGGGGAGCGAACAGGAUUAGAUACCCUGGUAGUCCACGCCGUAAACGGUGGAUGCUGGAUGUGGGGACCAUUCCACGGUCUCCGUGUCGGAGCCAACGCGUUAAGCAUCCCGCCUGGGGAGU